This 253-nucleotide ribosomal RNA is filed under the name uncultured bacterium. RNAcentral's name for it is "partial 16S ribosomal RNA". It matches the Rfam family "Bacterial small subunit ribosomal RNA", at positions 524 to 776 of the family's 1533-position model. The record is from RNAcentral.
UACGUAGGGGGCAAGCGUUGUCCGGAAUCAUUGGGCGUAAAGCGCGUGUAGGCGGCUCGGUAAGUCCGCUCUGAAAGUCCAGGGCUCAACCCUGGGAUGCGGGUGGAUACUGCCGGGCUUGAGUCCGGAAGAGGCGAGUGGAAUUCCUGGUGUAGCGGUGAAAUGCGCAGAUAUCAGGAGGAACACCAAUGGCGAAGGCAGCUCGCUGGGACGGUACUGACGCUGAGACGCGAAGGCGUGGGGAGCGAACGGG